CCCUUAGACGUUCUGGGCCGCACGCGCGCUACACUGACCAGUGCAACAAGCAUCCGUCCUUGGCCGACAGGCUCGCGCAAUCUUUGAACGCUGGUCGUGAUGGGGAUAGACUUUUGCAAUUUUUGGUCUUCAACGAGGAAUUCCUAGUAAACGCAAGUCAUCAACUUGCAUUGAUUACGUCCCUGCCCUUUGUACACACCGCCCGUCGCACCUACCGAUUGAAUGGUCCGGUGAAGCCUCCGGAUUGGCGCGCACCUCGGUGCCGCCGAGAAGUUGGCUAAACCUUACCAUUUAGAGGAAGGUGAAGUCGUAACA
Molecule: ribosomal RNA, 315 nt
Filed under: uncultured eukaryote
Lineage: Eukaryota
Description: partial 18S ribosomal RNA
Rfam family: Eukaryotic small subunit ribosomal RNA
Source: RNAcentral